GAUGAAGAACGCAGCGAAAUGCGAUAAGUAAUGUGAAUUGCAGAAUUCAGUGAAUCAUCGAAUCUUUGAACGCACAUUGCGCCCGCCAGUAUUCUGGCGGGCAUGCCUGUUCGAGCGUCAUUUCAACCCUCAAGCCCCCGGGCUUGGUGUUGGGAUCGGCGUGCCCUCGCGGCGCGCCGUCCCCUAAAUCUAGUGGCGGUCUCGCUGUAGCUUCCUCUGCGUAGUAGCAACACUCGCACUGGAUCGCAGCGCGGCCACGCCGUUAAACCCCCCACUUCUGAAAGUUUGACCUCGGAUCAGGUAGGAAUACCCGCUGAACUUAAGCAUAUCAAUAAGCGGAGGA
RNAcentral lists this unclassified non-coding RNA (343 nucleotides) under soil metagenome. RNAcentral describes it as "partial contains 5.8S ribosomal RNA, internal transcribed spacer 2, and large subunit ribosomal RNA". The stretch from base 1 to 120 matches the Rfam family "5.8S ribosomal RNA", at positions 35 to 154 of the family's 154-position model. The record is from RNAcentral.